GUCUCCCUUUCUCCUGCAAAAGUUUCUUUAUUUCUGCUUGAAUCUUCCUGCUAAGCCCCUCCAGCCCUGCACAGCCAGGAGUGUCAGUCACAGAAGGAAAGCACUUUUGAUACAAGCAGGGGCGUUUGAAGUAAUUUGGGGGCCCAAAG
Bufo bufo (common toad) is the source of this 149-nucleotide long non-coding RNA. RefSeq lists it as uncharacterized. The record is from RefSeq and is a predicted model, not a curated record. NCBI's taxonomy places the organism in Eukaryota, Metazoa, Chordata, Amphibia, Anura, Bufonidae. The transcript has 5 exons.